This 404-nucleotide ribosomal RNA is filed under the name Actinomycetes bacterium. Its description in RNAcentral is "Actinobacteria bacterium partial 16S ribosomal RNA". It matches the Rfam family "Bacterial small subunit ribosomal RNA", at positions 355 to 776 of the family's 1533-position model. The record is from RNAcentral. Lineage: Bacteria; Bacillati; Actinomycetota; Actinomycetes.
UGGGGAAUAUUGGACAAUGGGCGCAAGCCUGAUCCAGCCAUGCCGCGUGAGUGAUGAAGGCCCUAGGGUUGUAAAGCUCUUUCACCGGUGAAGAUAAUGACGGUAACCGGAGAAGAAGCCCCGGCUAACUUCGUGCCAGCAGCCGCGGUAAUACGAAGGGGGCUAGCGUUGUUCGGAUUUACUGGGCGUAAAGCGCGCGUAGGCGGACUAUUAAGUCAGGGGUGAAAUCCCGGGGCUCAACCCCGGAACUGCCUUUGAUACUGGUAGUCUUGAGUUCGAGAGAGGUGAGUGGAAUUCCGAGUGUAGAGGUGAAAUUCGUAGAUAUUCGGAGGAACACCAGUGGCGAAGGCGGCUCACUGGCUCGAUACUGACGCUGAGGUGCGAAAGCGUGGGGAGCAAACAGG